Molecule: long non-coding RNA, 2417 nt
Organism: Leucoraja erinaceus (little skate)
Lineage: Eukaryota; Metazoa; Chordata; Chondrichthyes; Rajiformes; Rajidae
Exons: 5
Source: RefSeq, a predicted model, not a curated record
GAUACGCACAGUAAUACAAGUGCUAUCAGCCGCCAUACAUUAACCUCUCCACUGCAGAGCCUCGCCUUCCAGUCGGUAACUUGGUUCAUAUUCAGCGGUAUUACCAACAUUAGACUUAAAGUUCCAUUUAACGUUUAUUUUGGGGGUUUUUUAACCAUUCGUUGUCUGCGAGCGCACAGGAAUCGCAUGAUGGUAGAGAUAAACUCUCUUCCCAGACUAGUCUUAUCAUGGAGAAAGCAACACACACGGUUACCGGGAGAUGUGGAUGGAAUCCGGACCGAUCUACUUAAACUGAAUGCAACAGGAGUGGUGCCAAGCUCACUUUUGGGGAAGGAACAACACUGUUCGUUGAACCGAAGGAGAAAGCUGAACGAGAGCCAACAUUGUCAAUCUACUACCCGCCAGUGGGCCAGAGUAAACAAACUAACCAAGCGGCAACGGUGUGUCUUCUCGCGCCGUUUUACCCCAACAAAGUCACUGUCAACAUCACUCUGACGGAAACAACCGAGGUCAAGACUGGAAACGUGCUAACCCAAGAUGGCUAUUACAGAACUUCCGGUUUUCGCGAGUUCCCGCACGCCCCUCCGCCAAAAACCAUCGGGUGUUCUGCCACGUACGGUGGUCGACUUAUCGAAAGGACAGAAAACAUAAGCGCACUUGAUAAGCCCCAGCCAUUGAUCUGCGAAACAGGAACGAGCAGCAACUAUACUGUAACAGAUAUACCCGAGACCAAUUUUAUGACGUUGACGGUGAUGGGUUUGAGGAUUCUGUUUGUUAAGAGCGUUGUCUUCAAUGUCUUGAUGACGGCCAGGGCCUGGGUCUUCUAAGGCUCCAGUCAUCGCGCGAGUGCCUCUUCCCCGAAGAAGUCUUCGCUCCGCCAGAGUGGAUUCGUGGCGUCAACAGAAACAAUUGGGGAAUCGGUUCCGGAGACCUCACAUCCGGCACCAAAGACGCGCCUUCGCUUAACGCAAAACAGAAGAUUUUAAACCGAAGCUUCAAUAGUUUGGAACGCGGCUAACUUUUAUCCACUGGGUAAUGUUGUAUCCAGUGUCCGUUUAGUUUAUUGCCACGUGUACCGAGGUACAGUGAAAAGCUUUUGUUGCGUGCUAUCCAGUCAGCAGAAAGACGACACAUGAUUACAAUCGAGCCAUUUUAGUUAUUCAAGUUCUUGUGUUGCAGUUGUCUAAUAUCUUAUACCCGGCAAAUUAAUUAGAUGCGUCAUAGCUGAACGUACAUAAUGUCCGGAUUCAUCUUGUAGUGCUUAGACCGGUGGAAAUCGUGUUUUAAAUCGCUUAUCACAUUCACGCGAUACAUGUGUGGAGUUUAUAUAUCCUGCUUGGAAAUAAUGUUACUGCUAUAAAAAAAGUCAUUAAAUCAGCUGUCCUCACACUUUCUUUAGUUUAGCUGAAAUAUAUAGUCUGGAAACAGGCCCUUCGGCCCACCCUGUCCAUGCCGACCAACAAACACCCCGAUGCCAGUUUUAUUAUGUAGUCAAAGGCCAAUUUACAGAAGCCAAUUAACCGUCAAGCCCGCACGUCUGUGGACUGUGGGAGGAAACCGGAGCACCCGGAGAAAACCCACGCGGGUCACAGGGUGAAAGCUCAAUGUCCGACCAGACAGCACCCGUAGCCAGGAUCGAACUUGGGUCACUGGCGUUGUAAGACAGCACUGUGCCGCCCAGCGCAGUGUUAGAAACAUAAAAUAUAGGUCAUGGAGUAGGCCAUUUGGCCCUUCGAGCCUGCACCGCCAUACAAUAUGAUCGUGGCUGAUCAUCCAACUCAGUAUCCUGUACCUGCCUUCUCUCCAUACCCCCUGAUACCUUUAGCCACAAUGGCCACAUCUAACUCCCUCCUAAAUAUAGCCAAUGAACUGGCCUCAACUACCUUCUGUGGCAGAGAAUUCCACAGAUUCACCACACUCUGAGUGAAAAAUGUUUUUAUCAUCUCGGUCCUAAAAGAUUUCCCCCUUAUCUUUAAACUGUGACCCCUUGUUCUGAAUUCCCCAACAUCUACCCACCCCGAUACAUAUCGUUCCAUUCCCUGCAUAUUCAUAUACCUAUCUAAUCUGCUCUUCUGCACAGAAGGCGGGCAAUUGGGGUCCCUGUACCAGCGCCAUAUUCCCUCCCUGCCUGUCAUGUCACCUCCAAUGCAAGACGGCACUUGAUGCCAAACAAAGAUUUUAACAUUUAAUUAUAGAGGCGUCGCUCACGACGUGAAUUUUGCGAGUUACUCUGCCAGCUUUUUAUUACAAACGUGAAUUUAACCAAUAUUAAUGUUUGCCGAGCUGCAAAUCAUUGAUGUAUUCAGUGCAUUGCGCGGAUAGAGUGUGUGUGCUACCUUGGGUUACAAGUGAAGAUUGAGAACCUUGUAUUGAGCAAAGGCUGUCGCUGUUACUGUUUUAAAUUCAAUUAUCAAUAA